GAUGAACGCUGGCGGCGUGCCUAAUACAUGCAAGUCGAGCGAACAGACGAGGAGCUUGCUCCUCUGACGUUAGCGGCGGACGGGUGAGUAACACGUGGAUAACCUACCUAUAAGACUGGGAUAACUUCGGGAAACCGGAGCUAAUACCGGAUAAUAUAUUGAACCGCAUGGUUCAAUAGUGAAAGACGGUUUUGCUGUCACUUCUAGAUGGAUCCGCGCCGCAUUAGCUAGUUGGUAAGGUAACGGCUUACCAAGGCAACGAUGCGUAGCCGACCUGAGAGGGGGAUCGGCCACACUGGAACUGAGACACGGUCCAGACUCCUACGGGAGGCAGCAGUAGGGAAUCUUCCGCAAUGGGCGAAAGCCUAACGGAGCAACGCCGCGUGAGUGAUGAAGGUCUUCGGAUCGUAAAACUCUGUUAUUAGGGAAGAACAAAUGUGUAAGUAACUAUGCACGUCUUGACGGUACCUAAUCAGAAAGCCACGGCUAACUACGUG
RNAcentral lists this ribosomal RNA (497 nucleotides) under uncultured bacterium. RNAcentral's name for it is "partial 16S ribosomal RNA". It matches the Rfam family "Bacterial small subunit ribosomal RNA", at positions 28 to 507 of the family's 1533-position model. The record is from RNAcentral.